CCAUUUUUUUCAUUUCCCUCUUCACUCUCCCCCUAUUUUCUUUUUCCUCUCAUUCGCACACUUCCCUCUUCAGACCCUAUUCUUUCUCACUCCUCUUUUCCAAAACCUUGCCAUUCCUCCGUUAAUCGUGGGUGAAGAGUUCGUCGUGGUGUAGAUCUGGCCUCCAUGCAAGUUUGCUCGUCGUGCAACCCGCGCCGCCACACCCAAUCACUCAAAUUUGCUGGUCAUUCCACCGGAUCUCCUGCUCGUUUCGUCGUCGUUUACGUGUCUCCACUGGAUUUGCUGCUCGUUCCAUCGUCAUUCGCAUGUCUCCGCCAGAUCUGCUGCUCGUUCGCGUCUCUCCGCCAGGCUCGCGUCUCUCCGUGCAGAUCUACUGAUUUGACAUGGACAAUUCUUCAAUCAUUGCUACAUUCCCUACUGAUUUGCGGGAAGAAGUUCUAUUAACUUCACUAUGUUCCAGGACCUGUAUCUAUCUUACCAGUUCAGCCAAUGAGCAGACAACUCAGGUUAGUCCGCAGCGGAGGAACUUGAGGCAAGGUGUCCUAGAUGCAAUUCCUGAGGAUGAAGAAGUUGGAAAGGAGGAGAAUGGAAGUAAUGGGUUGAUUCGGCACCAGAAUGUACAGGUUCAAGGUAAAUUUUUGGUUUUGUAGUGGUAGCAUCGUUAUGCUGCCGAAAAUUUUCCAUCGUCUUUGUAUCUCAUAUCUAGGUGAAACAAAGGAGAAGAUUUGGUAUCGCAACCUCUUUAUGCUUUUUCUUGGGGAACUCUAAAUCCAACACAUUCACUACAAGAAUUUUUCCUUGAAUGUACCAUUUAUGCACAUUCCCAAUAAACACGUGGUCAGACAAAGAUGCCUAUAACCAGACACUAUUGAAGUUGGGGGGAGGGGUCUGUUCAAGAAGAAUUAUGAAGGGAUUCAUACUUACUAAGUAGAGAGGGACAGUAAAUUCAUAAUGUUUGUAUUACUUGUAAUUCCUGUUUUCAAGGCCUGAAUUAUUGUAUGGCCUUUUAAAUAUAAU
Benincasa hispida (wax gourd) is the source of this 1017-nucleotide RNA transcript. RefSeq lists it as uncharacterized. NCBI's taxonomy places the organism in Eukaryota, Viridiplantae, Streptophyta, Magnoliopsida, Cucurbitales, Cucurbitaceae. The record is from RefSeq and is a predicted model, not a curated record.